CCUACGGGAGGCAGCAGUGGGGAAUAUUGCACAAUGGGGGAAACCCUGAUGCAGCGACGCCGCGUGAGUGAAGAAGGAAGUCGGUAGGGAAAGCUCUAUCAGCAGGGAAGAAAAUGACGGUACCUGAGUAAGAAGCCCCGGCGAACGACGUGCCAGCAGCCGCGGUAAUCCGUAGGGGGCAAGCGUUAUCCGGAUUUACUGGGUGUAAAGGGAGCGUAGACGGCAGUGCAAGGCGGGAGUGAAAGGCGGGGGCUCAACCCCCGGACUGCUCUUGAAACGGUACGGCUGGUGUGCAGGAGAGGUAAGUGGCAUUCCUCGUGUAGCGGUUAAAUGCGUAGAUAUUA
RNAcentral lists this ribosomal RNA (344 nucleotides) under uncultured bacterium. Its description in RNAcentral is "partial 16S ribosomal RNA". It matches the Rfam family "Bacterial small subunit ribosomal RNA", at positions 338 to 699 of the family's 1533-position model. The record is from RNAcentral.